GAAAUGCGAUAAGUAAUGUGAAUUGCAGAAUUCAGUGAAUCAUCGAAUCUUUGAACGCACCUUGCGCUCCUUGGUAUUCCUUGGAGCAUGCCCGUUUGAGUAUCAUGAAAUCUUCAAAGUAAAUCUUUUGUUAACUCAAUUGGUUUCUACUUUGGUAUUGGAGGUCUUUGCAGCUUCACACCUGCUCCUCUUUGUUCAUUAGCUGGAUCUCAGUGUUAUGCUUGGUUCCACUCGGCGUGAUAAGUUAUCUAUCGCUGAGGACACUGUAAAAGGUGGCCAAGGUAAAUGCAGAUGAACCGCUUCUAAUAGUCCAUUGACUUGGACAAUACUUUUAUGAUCUGAUCUCCAAUCAGGUAGGACUACCCGCUGAACUUAAGC
RNAcentral lists this unclassified non-coding RNA (378 nucleotides) under plant metagenome. RNAcentral describes it as "partial contains 5.8S ribosomal RNA, internal transcribed spacer 2, and large subunit ribosomal RNA". The stretch from base 1 to 105 matches the Rfam family "5.8S ribosomal RNA", at positions 50 to 154 of the family's 154-position model. The record is from RNAcentral.